This 414-nucleotide ribosomal RNA is filed under the name uncultured microorganism. Its description in RNAcentral is "bacterial SSU rRNA". It matches the Rfam family "Bacterial small subunit ribosomal RNA", at positions 9 to 420 of the family's 1533-position model. The record is from RNAcentral.
GAGUUUGAUCGUGGCUCAGAUUGGACGCUGGCGGCAUGCCUUACACAUGCAAGUCGAACGGCAGCAUGAUCUAGCUUGCUAGAUUGAUGGCGAGUGGCGAACGGGUGAGUAAUACAUCGGAACGUGCCCUGUAGUGGGGAUAACUAGUCGAAAGAUUAGCUAAUACCGCAUACGACCUGAGGGUGAAAGUGGGGGACCGCAAGGCCUCAUGCUAUAGGAGCGGCCGAUGUCUGAUUAGCUAGUUGGUGGGGUAAAGGCCCACCAAGGCGACGAUCAGUAGCUGGUCUGAGAGGACGAUCAGCCACACUGGGACUGAGACACGGCCCAGACUCCUACGGGAGGCAGCAGUGGGGAAUUUUGGACAAUGGGCGAAAGCCUGAUCCAGCAAUGCCGCGUGUGUGAAGAAGGCCUCGG